This 480-nucleotide ribosomal RNA is filed under the name uncultured bacterium. RNAcentral's name for it is "bacterial SSU rRNA". It matches the Rfam family "Bacterial small subunit ribosomal RNA", at positions 28 to 507 of the family's 1533-position model. The record is from RNAcentral.
GAUGAACGCUGGCGGCGUGCCUAACACAUGCAAGUCGAGCGAGAACCGCUGGAAUGACACUUCGGUAGAAUGAAAGCGGGGAAAGCGGCGGACGGGUGAGUAACGCGUAGGUAACCCUGCCCCAUACACAGGGAUAGCCUAGGGAAACCUGGAUUAAUACCUGAUGAAGCAACUGGUCGCAUGACCGGCUGCCAAAGAUUUAUCGGUAUGGGAUGGACCUGCGUCUGAUUAGUGAGUUGGUGGGGUAAUGGCCUACCAAAGCGACGAUCAGUAGCCGACCUGAGAGGGUGAUCGGCCACAUUGGAACUGAGACACGGUCCAAACUCCUGCGGGAGGCAGCAGUGGGGGAUAUUGCACAAUGGGCGGAAGCCUGAUGCAGCAACGCCGCGUGAGCGAAGAAGGUCUUCGGAUCGUAAAGCUCUGUCCUGGGGGAAGAAACAAAUGACGGUACCCCGGGAGGAAGCCCCGGCUAACUACGUG